UACGUAGGGUGCAAGCGUUGUCCGGAAUUAUUGGGCGUAAAGAGCUCGUAGGCGGUCUGUCGCGUCGGCUGUGAAAACUCGGGGCUCAACCCCGAGCCUGCAGUCGAUACGGGCAGACUAGAGUGCGGCAGAGGAGACUGGAAUUCCUGGUGUAGCGGUGAAAUGCGCAGAUAUCAGGAGGAGCACCGGUGGCGAAGGCGGGUCUCUGGGCCGUUACUGACGCUGAGGAGCGAAAGCGUGGGGAGCGAACAGG
RNAcentral lists this ribosomal RNA (253 nucleotides) under uncultured bacterium. RNAcentral describes it as "partial 16S ribosomal RNA". It matches the Rfam family "Bacterial small subunit ribosomal RNA", at positions 524 to 776 of the family's 1533-position model. The record is from RNAcentral.